CAAUGAUUCCAUUAUCAGAUAAUCCCUCAGAUAGUGAUGCCUACAAUAUUGUUUAUAAAGACAUGUCCUUGUCUGUUUUCCUUUCAUCACAGGAUAAUGGAAGUAAACCAAGGAGGUGUAUGUGUGGGAUGUAUUUCCUAUUCUGUCUGGUUGGCUUGCUGCUAAAAAAUCAGAAUAGAGAAGAGAAGACAGUCUUGUGGAGGGUCAAAGGAGCCACUGUUAGUAGUUAUUUGGGAUCUUUGAGGAAACCCCUGCUAAAAUAACUUGAUUGGAGAUUUUCCUUAGUCUGGACCAAACCUUCCCAUUAUUGGACACAGAUGGUCAGCUAGUAAUCAAUCAUCUAUAAUUAUGCUUUGGAAAAACCUCAUGAGCAAAGACCCUCGACUUGUAGUCAAAGCUACAAUUUGACAUUUCCCAGGAUUGGACGAGGCCAGUGAGGUGAAAGAGUAGAGGCCUGAAGAUUCCAGAGAGCUAGUAACAACAUCACUGAAGUGGUUGAGAUCCACAGUGUGUCAGGAGGUGUUUCUAGAGAGGUACACUAGAUGGGAAAUGAGAGGACAUGAAUUCAGUAAGCUCCUUAACCUCCCGCCUCAUUUAUCAAAUGGGUCUGAUGAAAGUGAUAUAUGUGAAAGCACCUGGCAUAAUAUUGGUCAGAUUGUGGUGCUUGAUGAUGGAAUGGUGCAUAAACAAACAAACACAGGCUCUCAACUGA
This 712-nucleotide long non-coding RNA is filed under the name Pongo abelii (Sumatran orangutan). RNAcentral's name for it is "lincRNA". Lineage: Eukaryota; Metazoa; Chordata; Mammalia; Primates; Hominidae. The record is from RNAcentral.